GUGCUCGCUUCGGCAGCAUAUAUACUAAAAUUGGAACGAUACAGAGAAGAUUAGCAUGGCCCCUGCACAAGGAUGACAUGCAAAUUUGUGAAGCAUUCCAUAUUUGU
Chinchilla lanigera (long-tailed chinchilla) is the source of this 107-nucleotide small nuclear RNA. The record is from Ensembl. NCBI's taxonomy places the organism in Eukaryota, Metazoa, Chordata, Mammalia, Rodentia, Chinchillidae.